AUUGAACGCUGGCGGAAUGCUUUACACAUGCAAGUCGAACGGUAGAGGGGGCAACCCCUCGAGAGUGGCGAACGGGUGAGUAAUAUAUCGGAACGUGCCCAGUCGUGGGGGAUAACGUAGCGAAAGCUACGCUAAUACCGCAUACGAUCUAAGGAUGAAAGCGGGGGAUCGCAAGACCUCGCGCGAUUGGAGCGGCCGAUGGCAGAUUAGGUAGUUGGUAGGGUAAAGGCCUACCAAGCCGACGAUCUGUAGCUGGGCUGAGAGGAUGAUCAGCAACACUGGGACUGAGACACGGCCCAGACUCCUACGGGAGGCAGCAGUGGGGAAUUUUGGACAAUGGACGCAAGUCUGAUCCAGCCAUUCCGCGUGCAGGAUGAAGGCCCUCGGGUUGUAAACUGCUUUUGUACAGAACGAAAAGGCUCUGGUUAAUACCUAGGGCUCAUGACGGUACUGUAAGAAUAAGCACCGGCUAACUACGUGCCAGCCGCCGCAGUAA
This 496-nucleotide ribosomal RNA is filed under the name uncultured bacterium. RNAcentral describes it as "partial 16S ribosomal RNA". It matches the Rfam family "Bacterial small subunit ribosomal RNA", at positions 30 to 523 of the family's 1533-position model. The record is from RNAcentral.